GACGACUCUCGGCAACGGAUAUCUCGGCUCUCGCAUCGAUGAAAGAACGUAGCGAAAUGCGAUACUUGGUGUGAAUUGCAGAAUCCCGUGAACCAUCGAGUCUUUGAACGCAAGUUGCGCCCGAGGCCACUCGGCCGAGGGCACGCCUGCCUGGGCGUCACGCC
RNAcentral lists this ribosomal RNA (164 nucleotides) under Phoebe cavaleriei. RNAcentral's name for it is "5.8S ribosomal RNA". It matches the Rfam family "5.8S ribosomal RNA". Rfam says of the family: 5.8S ribosomal RNA (5.8S rRNA) is a component of the large subunit of the eukaryotic ribosome. It is transcribed by RNA polymerase I as part of the 45S precursor that also contains 18S and 28S rRNA. Lineage: Eukaryota; Viridiplantae; Streptophyta; Magnoliopsida; Laurales; Lauraceae. The record is from RNAcentral.